Molecule: non-coding RNA, 179 nt
Organism: Phascolarctos cinereus (koala)
Lineage: Eukaryota; Metazoa; Chordata; Mammalia; Diprotodontia; Phascolarctidae
Source: RefSeq, a predicted model, not a curated record
AUUUUGAGUCGUGGAGAGAGGUGGAAACAACACCGCAGAUUUACCCUGAUGACCCUAAGGAACUUUGGGAUGGGGAAGAGAAGCGUUGAAGAGCGAGUUCAAGAAGAAGCCCAAUGCCUGGUGGAGGAGCUCAGGAAAACAAAGGGUCAGCCCACUGAUCCCACCUUCAUCCUUAGCUG